ACUAGCAGAACCUAAAACAUCUGAAAAAGGCAAGCACAAGUUCUCUGAUACUGCAUUGUGCUCCCUUUAUGAGUGCUUUGUCCAUUUAUGCCCAAGGUUGCGAUGUUUUGAAUUUUUGCAAUCAGACCUUGGCAAUGACUUUGAGCAGUAGGAUAUAAAUAACUCCCACAUGCUUAGCGUUCCAAUAAUGGAACACUAGGCAUAAAUGGGUUAGAGUGAGAGGAUAAUAACAUCUCUUUAAUGGAAAGAAUAUUACUGUAACUCUAUUCUGAAGACUCCAUUUUGAGUGCUGUGUUUAUAGAAUAAGGUAGAAAUAUUUUUGCUGUUAAUUGACCCUACAGGGCAUUCUAAAGGAAGAAGCUGCUCAGGUGCAUGGAGUCAAGGACCCAGCGCCAGCAUCAACCCAGAGUGUGCUUGCCGAUGGGACAGAUUCUGCAGACCCCUCACCAGUCCACAAAGAUGGGCAGAAUGAGGCCGACAGUGCACCAGAAGACCUCCAGUCUGUGGGGACCAGCAGGCUGCUCUAUCACAUCACUGAUGGUGAUAACCCACUGCUGUCGCCACGAUGCUCCAUCUUCAGCCAAAGCCAGAGAUUCAACUU
Molecule: small RNA, 601 nt
Filed under: Pan troglodytes (chimpanzee)
Lineage: Eukaryota; Metazoa; Chordata; Mammalia; Primates; Hominidae
Description: processed transcript
Source: RNAcentral